Long non-coding RNA from Nasonia vitripennis (jewel wasp), 979 nucleotides. RefSeq lists it as uncharacterized. The transcript is spliced from 2 exons. The record is from RefSeq and is a predicted model, not a curated record. NCBI's taxonomy places the organism in Eukaryota, Metazoa, Arthropoda, Insecta, Hymenoptera, Pteromalidae.
GACGACAACGAAAAGCUUUUUUUCGCGAGACGAUUUUUUUCCUCUCGAAGCUGGACUGGCCGCCGCCGAGUGGGAGGAGUGUGUGUGUCUGUUGCGUAAACGAGCAGUUGCGCGCCGUGUCUGUUUCCUUCAAUUCUAGCGCUUGAUUCGCGCAAUGAAGAGACGCUCGUUGAUUAGAAUUGAGAGCUCGAUGUGGACUCGAGCGAUGUCGGAGAGAUGGCUGCACCUGUUCUUCUCUGCGAAUGUAGUAUAAGCGGAUCGAUCCCCGCGAGGAGGAAAACAAUCGUUCGGAUGGACCGGAGCGUAAAAAGUUUAUCGUUGGAAGUGGCGGAGAGCGACGGUACACAUAGCGAAGGGACCUCGGCUACGAGCGUCGCACACCGUAUAGUGUGAGCAGCAGCGGCAGAAAGAGAGAAUAAAUCUCUCUCUCUCUCUCUUACUCUCCGACGAGAGGAGAGGUCGUUGCGCUCACUCGCGGGAGAGAGAGAGAGAGAGAGAGAGAGAGAGAGAGAGAGAGAGAGAGCGGCUACUGACAUGUCCGAACAUUAUCCACUCGGGCGAUGGCUGCUGACACUGUAUGAAGAGGGAAGACGAGCUUUCUCCGAGCUUCUAGUCUUUGCGGGGACGUCGAGUUUAUAGUAUUUUUCUUUUGAGAUUUCACCUUAUACGCCGUUACUAAAAAUGCCACUUCCCAUAAUCUCGUAAUUACGAGAGUCGAAAAAACGGAAGAAAGACCGUGAGAGUACCAGCACAAUUCCCGCCAGUGCGCCGCGCGGCGUAGGAGUACACGCAGCAGCCGGGAUCUCCGACUGUGAGAGAAGCAGGAAUCUGCCGUCCAUAUGCGCGACGAUAUGCAACGCAUCUGGAGGCGACGUGUGAAUAGGUACCUGGGAACGAGGCCUUGACCGUUUCUGCCGCCGACGCAUAAUCGUCCCACGUGUUUCCCCUUGUUUCGACUUUGGAAUAUACGAGUGACUUA